Molecule: small nuclear RNA, 154 nt
Organism: Folsomia candida
Lineage: Eukaryota; Metazoa; Arthropoda; Collembola; Entomobryomorpha; Isotomidae
Rfam family: U11 spliceosomal RNA
Source: Rfam
AAAAAGGGGGUUUUUCCUUUGGGGAACACCGUGAAUUGAAUGCUAUGCUUGGCCUCUGGGUUCCGGUGGAGUAUGGCAAUCAAGACAUAUUCAGCCCGUAAUUUUUGGAACUGAGAGCUGUCUGACGCCUCUUUAGAGGUGUCAAGGCGUUCUC